Molecule: ribosomal RNA, 707 nt
Filed under: uncultured bacterium
Lineage: Bacteria
Description: bacterial SSU rRNA
Rfam family: Bacterial small subunit ribosomal RNA
Source: RNAcentral
CUAAUCAUGCAAGUUGAGCGCGGGAAGCAGACAGAAGCCUUCGGGCGGACGUCUGUGGAACGAGCGGCGGAUGGGUGAGUAACACGUGGGUAACCUGCCUGUAAGCCUGGGAUAACUCGCGGAAACGCGAGCUAAUACCGGAUGACACGAAAGUUCGCAUGAACUUUUGUUGAAAGGCGGCUUCGGCUGUCACUUACAGAUGGGCCCGCGGCGCAUUAGCUAGUUGGUGGGGUAACGGCUCACCAAGGCGACGAUGCGUAGCCGACCUGAGAGGGUGAUCGGCCACACUGGGACUGAGACACGGCCCAGACUCCUACGGGAGGCAGCAGUAGGGAAUCUUCCGCAAUGGACGAAAGUCUGACGGAGCAACGCCGCGUGAACGAAGAAGGUUUUCGGAUCGUAAAGUUCUGUUGUUAGGGAAGAACAAGUACCGUUUGAAUAAGGCGGUACCUUGACAGUACCUAUCGAGAAAGCCCCGGCUAACUACGUGCCAGCAGCCGCGGUAAUACGUAGGGGGCAAGCGUUGUCCGGAUUUAUUGGGCGUAAAGGGCGCGCAGGCGGUUUCUUAAGUCUGAUGUGAAAUCUCGUGGCUUAACCACGAGCGGUCGUUGGAAACUGGGAAACUUGAGUACAGAAGAGGAGAGUGGAAUUCCACGUGUAGCGGUGAAAUGCGUAGAGAUGUGGAGGAACACCAGUGGCGAAGGCGG